AUGUGGCUUAGUGGUAGAGUGCUUGCCUCGCAUGCAUGAAAUCCUAGGUUUGAUUCCUCAGCAU
Molecule: transfer RNA, 64 nt
Filed under: Dipodomys ordii (Ord's kangaroo rat)
Lineage: Eukaryota; Metazoa; Chordata; Mammalia; Rodentia; Heteromyidae
Rfam family: tRNA
About the family: Transfer RNA (tRNA) molecules are approximately 80 nucleotides in length.
Source: Rfam by way of RNAcentral